AAUGAACGCUGGCGACAUGGAUUAGGCAUGCAAGUCGAACGGUAUAGCAAUAUACGAGUGGCGAAAGGGUGAGUAACACGUGAAUAAUCUACCUCUAAGUUUGGAAUAGCCUUUGGAAACGAAGAUUAAUACCGAAUGUGGUUUUCCUUUGCAUAAAGGGAAUACUAAAGAUUUAUCGCUUAGAGAGGAGUUCGCGUCCCAUUAGCUAGUUGGCGGGGUAAUGGCCCACCAAGGCAAUGACGGGUAGGUGGUCUGAGAGGAUGGUCACCCACACUGGGACUGAGACACUGCCCAGACUCCUACGGGAGGCUGCAGUCGAGAAUCUUCCGCAAUGGGCGAAAGCCUGACGGAGCGAUGUCGCGUGAGGGAUGAAGGUCUUCGGAUUGUAAACCUCUGUCACCAAGGACGAAGAAGUGACGGUACUUGGAGAGGAAGCCAUGGCUAACUACGUGCCAGCAGCCGCGGUAAUACGUAGAUGGCAAGCGUUAUUCGGAUUUACUGGGCGUAAAGGGUCCGCAGGGGGUUUAAAAAGUCGGACGUGAAAUCCCGGAGCUCAACUCCGGAACUGCAUCCGAAACUAUUGAACUAGAGUGAGUGAGGGGCCGAUGGAAUUCCUGGUGUAGCGGUGGAAUGCGUAGAUAUCAGGAAGAACACCAAUAGCGAAGGCAGUCGGCUUGCGCUUUACUGACCCUCAGGGACGAAAGCAUGGGUAGCAAACAGGAUUAGAUACCCUGGUAGUCCAUGCUGUAAACGGUGCAUACUGGACGCAAGAUUGGUCAACGGCCAAUUUUGUGUCUGAGCUAACGUGUUAAGUAUGCCGCCUGGGAACUACGGUCGCAAGAUUAAAACUCAAAGGAAUUGACGGGGGGCCGCACAAGCGGUGGAGUAUGUGGCUUAAUUCGAGGCAACGCGAAGAACCUUACCUGGGUUUGACAUAGUUCUUACAAUAUAUGAAAGUAUAUGUCCUUCGGGAGUGAAUUACAGGUGCUGCAUGGCUGUCGUCAGCUCGUGUCGUGAGAUGUUCGGUUAAGUCCGGCAACGAGCGCAACCCGUAUCAUUAGUUACCAUCAUUUAGUUGGGGACUCUAAUGAGACUGCCUGUGUUAAGCAGGAGGAAGGCGCGGAUGACGUCAAGUCAGUAUGGUCCUUACACCCAGGGCUGCACACGUACUACAAUGGCCGGUACAAUGGGAAGCAAGACCGCGAGGUGGAGCAAAACCUUAAAACCGGCCCCAGUUCAGAUUGUAGUCUGCAACUCGACUACAUGAAGUUGGAAUCGCUAGUAAAGGCGUAUCAGCAUUGACGCCUUGAAUACGUUCCCGGGCCUUGUACACACCGCCCGUCACAUCAUGGGAGCUGGUUUCACCUUAAGCCGCCGAGCUAACCUUUCGAGGAGGCAGGUGUCCACGGUGGGGCUGGUGACUGGGA
This 1427-nucleotide ribosomal RNA is filed under the name uncultured bacterium. RNAcentral describes it as "bacterial SSU rRNA". It matches the Rfam family "Bacterial small subunit ribosomal RNA". The record is from RNAcentral.